RNAcentral lists this ribosomal RNA (577 nucleotides) under Klebsiella aerogenes. RNAcentral's name for it is "partial 23S ribosomal RNA". It matches the Rfam family "Bacterial large subunit ribosomal RNA", at positions 247 to 867 of the family's 2925-position model. Lineage: Bacteria; Pseudomonadati; Pseudomonadota; Gammaproteobacteria; Enterobacterales; Enterobacteriaceae. RNAcentral also lists the same sequence under 2 other names. The record is from RNAcentral.
CGGCGAGCGAACGGGGAGCAGCCCAGAGUCUGAAUCAGCUUGUGUGUUAGUGGAACGGUCUGGAAAGUCCGACGGUACAGGGUGAUAGUCCCGUACACCAAAAUGCACAGGUUGUGAACUCGAAGAGUAGGGCGGGACACGUGGUAUCCUGUCUGAAUAUGGGGGGACCAUCCUCCAAGGCUAAAUACUCCUGACUGACCGAUAGUGAACCAGUACCGUGAGGGAAAGGCGAAAAGAACCCCGGCGAGGGGAGUGAAAAAGAACCUGAAACCGUGUACGUACAAGCAGUGGGAGCACCUUCGGGUGUGACUGCGUACCUUUUGUAUAAUGGGUCAGCGACUUAUAUUCUGUAGCAAGGUUAACCGUAUAGGGGAGCCGCAGGGAAACCGAGUCUUAACUGGGCGUUAAGUUGCAGGGUAUAGACCCGAAACCCGGUGAUCUAGCCAUGGGCAGGUUGAAGGUUGGGUAACACUAACUGGAGGACCGAACCGACUAAUGUUGAAAAAUUAGCGGAUGACUUGUGGCUGGGGGUGAAAGGCCAAUCAAACCGGGAGAUAGCUGGUUCUCCCCGAAAGCU